AACGAACGCUGGCGGCAUGCCUAACACAUGCAAGUCGAACGAUCCCUUCGGGGUUAGUGGCGCACGGGGGCGUAACGCGUGGGAACCUGCCCUUAGGUUUGGAAUAACUCAGAGAAAUUUGAGCUAAUACCGGAGAAUGUCUUCGGACCAAAGGUUUAUCGCCUUUGGAUGGGCCGGGGUUGGAUCCGCUUGUGGGGGGGGUAAAGGCCUACCAAGGGGACGAGACGUAGCGGGUCUGAGAGGAUGAUCCGCCACACUGGGACUGGGACACGGCCCAGACUCCUACGGGAGGCAGCAGUGGGGAAUAUUGGACAAUGGGCGGUAGCCUGAACCAGCAAUGCCGCGUGAGUGCUGAAGGCCUUAGGGUUGUAAAGCUCUUUUACACGGGAUGAUAAUGACAGUACCGGGAGAAUAAGCCCCGGCUAACUCCGUG
RNAcentral lists this ribosomal RNA (433 nucleotides) under uncultured bacterium. RNAcentral's name for it is "partial 16S ribosomal RNA". It matches the Rfam family "Bacterial small subunit ribosomal RNA", at positions 29 to 507 of the family's 1533-position model. The record is from RNAcentral.